ACGGGAGGCAGCAGUGGGGAAUAUUGCACAAUGGGCGCAAGCCUGAUGCGGCGAUGCCGCGUGAGGGAAGCAGGUUUUCGGAUUGUAAACCUCUGUCAUCGGGGACGAUAAUGACUGUACCCGAGAAGGAAGCUCCGGCUAACUACGUGCCCGCAGCCGCGGUAAUCCGUAGGGAGCGCGCGUUAUCCGGAAUUACUGGGUGUAAAGGGAGUGUAGGCGGGACUGUAAGUCAGAUGUGAAAUAUGCCGGCUCAACUGGCAGACUGCAUUUGAAACUGCGGAUCUUGAGUGAAGUAGAGGUAAGCGGAAUUCCUAGUGUAGCGGUGAAAUGCGUAGAUAUUAGGAGGAACAUCAGUGGCGAAGGCGGCUUACUGGGCUUUAACUGACGCUGAGGCCCGAAAGCGUGGGGAGCAAACAGGAUUAGAUACCCUGGUA
Molecule: ribosomal RNA, 434 nt
Filed under: uncultured Ruminococcus sp.
Lineage: Bacteria; Bacillati; Bacillota; Clostridia; Eubacteriales; Oscillospiraceae
Description: partial 16S ribosomal RNA
Rfam family: Bacterial small subunit ribosomal RNA
Source: RNAcentral